AUGGCACAAGAGAAAUGUGAAAGCUUGAGAAAACUCAAAAAAAAAAACAAAGAUGCAAGAUCGGAAUUUGAGGAGGAGAGAGGUGUGCUUAGGGUUUUUGUGAGUAUUAGGGAUUUAUAUAGAGUGUAUGGAGUGAGUGUGGUAUCUAACCAUGGUCAGAAUUUGAGUGGAGGGCAAGUUUGGGAGUUUUGGCCAAAAAAAUGCAAGUUUUGA
Non-coding RNA from Vicia faba (fava bean), 213 nucleotides. Lineage: Eukaryota; Viridiplantae; Streptophyta; Magnoliopsida; Fabales; Fabaceae. The record is from the annotation of a GenBank genome assembly.